AACGCGAAGAACCUUACCUGGUCUUGACAUCCCCCUGACCGGUCCGUAAUGGGGCCUUCUCUUCGGAGCAGGGGAGACAGGUGGUGCAUGGUUGUCGUCAGCUCGUGUCGUGAGAUGUUGGGUUAAGUCCCGCAACGAGCGCAACCCUUAUCGUCAGUAGCCAGCAGUAAGAUGGGAACUCUGAUGAGACUGCCAGGGAUAACCUGGAGGAAGGUGGGGAUGACGUCAAAUCAUCAUGCCCCUUAUGAUUUGGGCUACACACGUGCUACAAUGGCGUAAACAAAGAGAAGCAAAGGAGUGAUCCGGAGCAAAUCUCAAAAAUAACGUCUCAGUUCGGAUUGUAGUCUGCAACUCGACUACAUGAAGCUGGAAUCGCUAGUAAUCGCGAAUCAGAAUGUCGCGGUGAAUGCGUUCCCGGGUCUUGUACACACGC
RNAcentral lists this ribosomal RNA (433 nucleotides) under uncultured Clostridium sp. RNAcentral's name for it is "bacterial SSU rRNA". It matches the Rfam family "Bacterial small subunit ribosomal RNA", at positions 958 to 1393 of the family's 1533-position model. Lineage: Bacteria; Bacillati; Bacillota; Clostridia; Eubacteriales; Clostridiaceae. The record is from RNAcentral.